GUUAGGGUGUGACUUUGGGCCACACACUUGUAUGUUCCAGUGUCUGUUCCAUCAACAUUCCUGAGAGUUAAUGUUUGUUCUUCGUUUUCUGUUACACCAAUGGGGUCGCCAUCUUUAUACCAAGUUACAUUGGCUGGAGGGUUUCCACCUUCACCUCUACAUACACAUGUAAAGUCAUCACCUUCAUUUAGUAUGAUAGAAC
Non-coding RNA from Paramuricea clavata, 202 nucleotides. NCBI's taxonomy places the organism in Eukaryota, Metazoa, Cnidaria, Anthozoa, Malacalcyonacea, Plexauridae. The record is from the annotation of a GenBank genome assembly.